AAUGGCGGUUAACAAAGAGAGGCAAGACCGCGAGGUGGAGCAAAUCUCAAAAAACCGUCCCAGUUCGGAUCGCAGGCUGCAACCCGCCUGCGUGAAGUUGGAAUUGCUAGUAAUCGUGGAUCAGCAUGCCACGGUGAAUACGUUCCCGGGCCUUGUACACACCGCCCGUCACACCAUGAGAGCCGGGAACACCCGAAGUCCGUAGUCUAACCUAUAUGGAGGACGCGGCCGAAGGUGGGUUUGGUAAUUGGGGUGAAGUCGUAACAAGGUACC
This 273-nucleotide ribosomal RNA is filed under the name uncultured bacterium. RNAcentral describes it as "partial 16S ribosomal RNA". It matches the Rfam family "Bacterial small subunit ribosomal RNA", at positions 1229 to 1500 of the family's 1533-position model. The record is from RNAcentral.